AUUGAACGCUGGCGGAAUGCUUUACACAUGCAAGUCGAACGGCAGCACGGACUUCGGUCUGGUGGCGAGUGGCGAACGGGUGAGUAAUGUAUCGGAACGUGCCCAGUCGUGGGGGAUAACGUAGUGAAAAUUACGCUAAUACCGCAUACGAUCUAUGGAUGAAAGCGGGGGACCUCAAGACCUCGCGCGAUUGGAGCGGCCGAUAUCAGAUUAGGUAGUUGGUGGGGUAAAGGCCCACCAAGCCAACGAUCUGUAGCUGGUCUGAGAGGACGACCAGCCACACUGGAACUGAGACACGGUCCAGACUCCUACGGGAGGCAGCAGUGGGGAAUUUUGGACAAUGGGCGAAAGCCUGAUCCAGCCAUUCCGCGUGCAGGAUGAAGGCCCUCGGGUUGUAAACUGCUUUUGUACAGAACGAAAAGGUUUCUACUAAUACUAGGAGCUCAUGACGGUACUGUAAGAAUAAGCACCGGCUAACUACGUGCCAGCAGCCGCCGUAA
RNAcentral lists this ribosomal RNA (500 nucleotides) under uncultured bacterium. Its description in RNAcentral is "partial 16S ribosomal RNA". It matches the Rfam family "Bacterial small subunit ribosomal RNA", at positions 30 to 523 of the family's 1533-position model. The record is from RNAcentral.